Molecule: transfer RNA, 55 nt
Filed under: Fukomys damarensis (Damara mole-rat)
Lineage: Eukaryota; Metazoa; Chordata; Mammalia; Rodentia; Bathyergidae
Rfam family: tRNA
About the family: Transfer RNA (tRNA) molecules are approximately 80 nucleotides in length. Their secondary structure includes four short double-helical elements and three loops (D, anti-codon, and T loops).
Source: Rfam by way of RNAcentral
GCUAAGCAGCAAAGCACCUGCCUGGCAAGCAUGAAGCCCUGAGUUCGAUUCCCAG